UACGGGGGGGGCGAGCGUUGUUCGGAAUUACUGGGCGUAAAGGGUUCGUAGGUGGCCUGCUAAGUCGGAUGUGAAAUCCCCAGGCUUAACCUGGGAACUGCAUCCGAUACUGGAUGGCUUGAAUCCGGGAGAGGGAUGCAGAAUUCCAGGUGUAGCGGUGAAAUGCGUAGAUAUCUGGAGGAACACCGGUGGCGAAGGCGGCAUCCUGGACCGGUAUUGACGCUGAGGCGCGAAAGCUAGGGGAGCAAACGGG
This 253-nucleotide ribosomal RNA is filed under the name uncultured bacterium. Its description in RNAcentral is "partial 16S ribosomal RNA". It matches the Rfam family "Bacterial small subunit ribosomal RNA", at positions 524 to 776 of the family's 1533-position model. The record is from RNAcentral.